This is a long non-coding RNA of Ictalurus punctatus (channel catfish), 5483 nucleotides long. Lineage: Eukaryota; Metazoa; Chordata; Actinopteri; Siluriformes; Ictaluridae. The record is from Ensembl.
AAAAAAAAAAAAAAAAAAAAAAAAAAAAAAACAGGUUGUUCUUAUGAGAGGUUUUUAUUAAAGGAAAGAUUUCUUUUCAUACUUGUGGAAAAUUUUAAUACAUGUUCGCUUGAAAAGGUGCCAAUAUUUCUGGAGUGGACUGUGCGUAAACCCCAGCUAUGAGACUCAAAAAACUGAACCUCUAGGGUGUUUUUCUCUCUCUGAACCCAGUGGUCUGGGAACGAAAGCUUUCCCAGAGCAGGGCUAUGAGGACACGCCGCACCACCCGUGCAGGACUUUUUCAUGGCAGCACACGAGCCAUCCAUCACAGGCCUGAUGAAAAUAUUACACACUGACUGACGUGUGUGUGUGUGUGUGUGUGCGUGUGCGUGUCGGUUAAAGUUUUGAGUGACGACACAGCGCAGGCAACGUUGCAAAAGCUGAGUAAUAUGGGAAAUUACUGGUGGAAUUAAUUUCUUUCUGUGAUGAUCGUAAUCAGCCGUAAAAGUAGUGGGAAACUUCCUGUGAUAAAGUGGGACAUUUCCCAUGAGUCACUGGGUUCACGACAAGCCAUGACAUGAACAGUGAAGUUUCUCAAGCUAGCCUCGUUUAUUUGCUGAGGUAAUGAAUAAACAUUAAAAAAAAAAAAAAAAAAAAGAAGCAGCAAAGUGUAAGGAACAUGAUUGAGAGAAAACUUUCUAAGAACACAGAAAGAAAAAGCAUUGCAAGAAGCAAAACAACAUUACAGAUGUGGGAAAUACCAGAAUUUUGAAUUAUGAUCCGAUUCACAUUCUCCUGAAUGCGAAUGCGAUUAAUGAGUCAUCGCGAACCGACAUUUUCAUGAACGCAGAUGUUUUGGCCUGCACCAGACACCCUGAUUUUUGUUCAUUAUUUUGAUUUUUUUUUUUUAAUUAAAUAGUAUAUUACAGGAUUAGCGCUGAGUCCUUACAUAACUUUUCUUUCUUUUCUAUAAGAUAGGGGCUUUCAAUGGCGGCCGUCUCGAACAGACCGAGUACGUUUUGGAGGAUGGUGUGGGGGGAGGGGUUAUUGUCUCAAAGUGGGGUCUGGGUACCCCCCCAGGGUCCGUGUAGCUUAUCCAGCGGUCUGUGAUUGUUUUUGUUACGGUGUUUAAAAAUCACAACCAACGUUAAUAACGUUACUAUAUUUAGGGGGCCAAGCACCGAAGUCAACUCAGAGGUAAUGUCUUCUACUGCUUGAAUGUCAGGAAUGGAAAGCUCUAUGCGCUAGAAUUAUUUCAAUAAUGUUCAUGACAUCAAUCAGACUGAGGGGGACUGUGGCAUUUAUUUGACAGUUAACGGGAUCCCUGGCUACAAAAAAAACGUUUGCGCACCGCUGUGACAAACUUAUGGGAAAAGAAACGAGCUAUAAGUCAGCAAGACGUUUUCUAAACCUGAGCGAGUGUCUUUUCUGUAGAAGAUCCUCUGUCGGGUGUGAAAUUUGCCUACAGCUAAAUUAUUUAUCUGAAGGCAGCUCAUCAAAUUAGAGUCUAGCUACAAUACUAGAGAUAUUCGUUCAGAAACUAGAUAACUCGAUUCAGAAAAUACAGGGUGUCCCGAACGUCUCCAUACAUGGGGAGGGGGGGGGGGGGGCAUUUCUUUUGUCAAUUGCAUUCUGAAAAAAAUAUCAUAUAAACUAAGUAUGAACAAUUUUGGAAGACAUUUUGGUAAAAAAAAAAAAAAAAAAAAAAAAGUGUUCAUUUCCCCUCUGUAUGGAGAAUUUUUCCUAUAUGUAGAGACUUUUGGGAGACUCGGUAGAUAUAUAAAAUGGUAAAUGGUGCAUUUAUAUAGCGCUUUUAUACAAAGCGCUUUACCCUGUGUCUCAUUCACUCAUUCACACACACACUCACACACCACUGGUAGCAGAGCUGCCAUGCAAGGCGCUAACUUGCCAUCGGGAGCAACUCGGGGUUCAGUGUCUUGCCCAAGCACACUUCGACGUAUGGAGUCAUGUGGAGUCACGUGGAGUCACGUGGGCCGGGAAUCGAACCGCCAACCCUACGAUUAGUGGACAAUCCGCUCAACCACCUGAUCCACAUGAAUAACCACUUUAAAACAAGACACAAAUAAAAGGUUAGUAGAGCAGCUCUGGCUAGUGAAAUGAGUUGCUUUUCACGUCUUACUAAGGUAAGACUACCUGUUCGUAAACGCUCGCGAUGGACACACUCAUCCGUUAUUCUUGAACAACCGCUUCUCCAUCUUCUCCAUCAAAGAGACAAAAAACAGGCUCGUCUGUAUCAGGAGAAUUCCAUAGAGGGUUGUUUUAUUUGUGAUAGGUUAAUGGACAUGCCAUGGAAGGUUAAAGAUUUGUUUAUGAUCAAUGUCAUACUGUACCUGCUCGAGAAUGCGGGAACUUUAUUCGAAACUGUAUUAUGAGCCGUUCCUAGAUAAAGUGGGAACGAGCUCCGAGUGCCACGGCGGAGAAGUAAAUCAGAGCAGGGUAAUCUCGCACAUAUUGCACUGUACCGUACGUGACGGUCGGCAUUUCCAAAAGAUCUCGGACUGCACCGCCCGACGUCACCUGCAAAAUAGACCGUACAACAGGGUUUGGAGCAGUUAUUCAGAGUGCAGCGGGUACAGAGGAGACUUUUUACCCCAAAACUGGUCAUCGUCUCAAAGAGUGAUAGCAAAAAAACACACACACACACUCGAAAAACAACUCUGAUGUCAUGAUCUGGUCCUCUGGUUUUUGUUCUGGGUUCAUCUCCUGGGUUGAACGUGUUGAACGUCUUGUUUCUGCCCCUGUAUUAUGUGCCUGUAAGUAAACUUAUAUAUCUUUCUGUCUUCAUGGCGAAGAAAAAAAGAAUACGCCCAGUUUCCUGUUUUGGAAAUGAUGGUUAUUAUCCUGGUUUAUGACGAUGGGUUGGUGAAUUCUAUACCACACUAUGCGAUAAAGUGUUCUCCGUGUCAGAUUAUAUGAAGACGAUCGUCUAAGGAUAAACCUGCGAUGUAAAGAACAUUACUGCAUACGGUGCUGCUCACGUCAUCAGUCAGCACCAUGUAGAAAACGGGCUCAUAUAAACGCAAACGUUCUUCAAAGGUGACCCGUAUCAUGAUAGAAAGGUUUGUGAAAAAAUUGACAGUAAUACAGUAACUGAUUCCAGUUUUGUUUUGUUGUUUGUUUUUUUUUAAAGAAAAAGACAUCUAAAUAUCUGCAAUAUCUCAGGAAAGUGUAUUGUGAAACAAUACAGUAUAUCAAAUAUCGGCAUAUUGAGGAUUUCUGUGCAAAACCAUGCCAGUAGGUGGAUUGGCUUUUCAGCACAAAGCAGGAGAGGAGCUACCUGAGGAGCGCCGGUCACGUUUUGGACGUAAUGGAGGUUAGGACGGAUGCAAGUGCAGUUAAGAGCGUUUAAUAAAGAGAGGAAGGCAAACGAAUCCAAAUCAUGAGACAAUAACGUGGUCAAAAACAGGCAAUGGGUCAGGCGAUCUGCAAACAGGCGUAAACAAGGCGAGGCAAGGCAAGAAUCAAGAACGAGAAACAAGAAACAAGAUCAAAGAACACGAAUAAAAAAACGAGGAACAGGGUACAAACGCUCGGUACGGUGAUACCACUCAAUACUUCGCAAAGAGUGAACGCCUCGAGAGUCCUUUUAAACUGUGUUGUGAUUGUGUGUGAGAUUGGAUGCAGGUGUGCGUGAUUAGAAUGAAUGAGUGUUCUGGGAAUUGCGGUCCAUGGCGGCCAUGUUUGUAGGCCAGUUUGUAGCCUUCGCACCUUAGAGGGCAGUUUAAAGUCCCUUCGAUGCUUAAGGGACUUUAAACUGCCCUCUAAGGUGCUAAGGCACUUCUACACCCGCACCAUCGAGAGCCUCCUGAUGGGACGCAUCACAGCCUGGUUAAAGCAGGAUCGGUGGCUCUCCAGCAGGUGGCGAGAUCAGCUGAGCGCACCUGACCUGCAGUCUAUCUACAGCAAGUGGUGCUGGACCAAGGCCAGGAAGAGAUUGAAGGCCCUCAGCCAUCUGACCAACGGACUCUUCUCUCUGUUGCGGGCAGGGAAGUGCUCGCCAGGUGUGCGUGAAUACGUGUGUAUGCUCCAGUAUCCAGCGUCCCAUCCUGCCUCAGUAUUCCCAGAUUCCCCAAAAGCCUGAUAAAAAUAAUGCAUUUACUGGUGAUGGAUUAAUGAACGAGAUACAUACUCUAUAUUCACAUGUGCGAUGCUACAGUAUUUCACACAUUCUCCAGUCUGUCCUGUAAUCCCUCCAUCAAGCUCUAAAUCUUCGUCAACAUCAUCUCUGGCUGGCUCUCAAAGGCAAUAAAGUCGAAUGGGGUUUGUUUUUUUCGUUUCUUUUUUCAACGUGAUGCUUUCACAGCAAACGAAAUACCAAGCCCCUAAAAAGGAAGUCCAGUCCUGAAUCAGAGCAUAGACCAUACGUCUGCUUUUAAGGGUCUCUCUCUCUCUGCCCAUGUCGUCUGCGCUCUGUUCCCAGGAAGGACGUACGUCACCAAGGAUGAGAAAAAAAGUCUAACUACGUGUAUAACUGCAUAACUGGAAAUCGUUAAUUGCUAUUUCUGAUACGUGAAUAUUGCUGCUACUGACUCAUGCAACUCCUCUAUAGGGCGUAAAUUUCUACAGUAAGUAAGGAAAGCACCGUCCAUGUCCUUGCUAACUUAUAGUAAACCCUCUCACAUUAGUCAGGGAUCAUGUAUCAGCGUCUCGGUUUGCAUAUUGUCAUAGGAGAGAGUUAGCUGGUGCGUGGGAAUCGGGGAGAAAAUUAAACCAGCGUAAUGUUACCAUGACAACCCCAAUCUCUGACGUGAUUGGUCCGAAGCUAUACAUCGCAAACCCUGUUAAUAUGAAACUAGUUCGUAGUUUCACUGUUUAUAUCAUCGGAAUCUGCUUCCAAGAAGAGUUCAUGAUUUAAACAUCAUGUUUUGAGUUCGGGGCUACUUUAAAUGAGGUCUGGAUGGUUCUGUAGGUUCCCCUGUGGUGCUCUGGAUCAUUCGGAAGAAGAUCUGAACUUCUAUUAAGCCUCACACUCACACUUUCCCUGAAGCUUUCCAUGGCCCCUUGUAACUCCUCUCUUCAUUCCUUCAUCCACAGAGUUCAUCCCCAGCAAAUCCUGCUCACUAAAUAACUCAAAACAUGAUGUUAAUUCAUCAUCUUUAUUUAUCACAGCAGCCUAGGUUUUGUUGGUCUAUCAGCGUUGUGGUUUCACCUUCCCAGCACACGUUCAGCCAAAAUGCACGCAAAACACGACUCCAUCCCAGAAGCAAAUCCAUCCAUAACUCACUAAACUCCUUCUCCACAACACAACACAACACAACACAACACAACACAGCAUGCCUCUGUUCUUCUUUACGAGUGAGGUUAUAUAGGUUUCUGUUUCACAACAGCUUUAUCCUAAAGGAUAUUCAAUGUGCAGUGUAACACAGUUGUCAUAAUUUAUUGUCAAGCCAAAAAGGCUUUAUUUAUAUAAGUUUAUUUUGCAAGACUGAGGUUUUGAGGUAGAAACAGAAGCAGUACAAAACAAACCCAUUUCCAGUAUAUCC